Molecule: ribosomal RNA, 496 nt
Filed under: uncultured bacterium
Lineage: Bacteria
Description: partial 16S ribosomal RNA
Rfam family: Bacterial small subunit ribosomal RNA
Source: RNAcentral
GAUGAACGCUGGCGGCGUGCCUAAUACAUGCAAGUCGAGCGAACGGACGAGAAGCUUGCUUCUCUGAUGUUAGCGGCGGACGGGUGAGUAACACGUGGAUAACCUACCUAUAAGACUGGGAUAACUUCGGGAAACCGGAGCUAAUACCGGAUAAUAUUUUGAACCGCAUGGUUCAAAAGUGAAAGACGGUCUUGCUGUCACUUAUAGAUGGAUCCGCGCUGCAUUAGCUAGUUGGUAAGGUAACGGCUUACCAAGGCAACGAUGCAUAGCCGACCUGAGAGGGUGAUCGGCCACACGGGAACUGAGACACGGUCCAGACCCCUACGGGAGGCAGAAGUAGGGAAUCUUCCGCAAUGGGCGAAAGCCUGACGGAGCAACGCCGGGUGAGUGAUGAAGGUCUUCGGAUCGUAAAACUCUGUUAUUGGGGAAGAACAUAUGUGUAAGUAACUGUGCCCAUUUUGGCGGGACCAAAACAGAAAGCCACGGCUAACUCCGU